CCUACGGGAGGCAGCAGUGGGGAAUAUUGCACAAUGGGGGCAACCCUGAUGCAGCGACGCCGCGUGAGUGAAGAAGUAUCUCGGUACGUAAAGCUCUAUCAGCAGGAAAGAAAAUGACGGUACCUGACUAAGAAGCCCCGGCUAACUACGUGCCAGCAGCCGCGGUAAUACGUAGGGGGCAAGCGUUAUCCGGAUUUACUGGGUGUAAUGGGAGCGUAGACGGCGCUGCAAGUCCGGAGUGAAAGCCCUUGGCUUAACCGUGGUACUGCGCUGGAAACUGGAGAGCUUGAGUGCAGGAGGGGCAGGCGGAAUUCCUGGUGUAGCGGUGAAAUGCGUAGAUAUUAGGAGGAACACCGGCGGCGAAGGCGGCCUGCUGGACCGUAACUGACGUUGAGGCUCGAAAGCGUGGGGAGCAAACAGGAUUAGAUACCCGGGUAGUC
RNAcentral lists this ribosomal RNA (440 nucleotides) under uncultured bacterium. RNAcentral describes it as "partial 16S ribosomal RNA". It matches the Rfam family "Bacterial small subunit ribosomal RNA", at positions 338 to 795 of the family's 1533-position model. The record is from RNAcentral.